This 245-nucleotide ribosomal RNA is filed under the name uncultured bacterium. RNAcentral's name for it is "partial small subunit ribosomal RNA". It matches the Rfam family "Bacterial small subunit ribosomal RNA", at positions 26 to 285 of the family's 1533-position model. The record is from RNAcentral.
AGAAUCAACGCUGGCGGCGUGCCUAACACAUGCAAGUCGAACGAGAAAGUGGAGCAAUCCAUGAGUAAAGUGGCGACCGGGUGAGUAACACGUGACUAACCUACCUUCGAGUGGGGGAUAACCUCGGGAAACCGAGGCUAAUACCGCAUAACAUCGUGAGAUCAAAGCAGCAAUGCGCUUGGAGAGGAGUUCGCGGCCGAUUAGCUAGUUGGCGGGGUAAUGGCCCACCAAGGCGAUGAUCGGUA